RNAcentral lists this ribosomal RNA (526 nucleotides) under uncultured bacterium. Its description in RNAcentral is "bacterial SSU rRNA". It matches the Rfam family "Bacterial small subunit ribosomal RNA", at positions 355 to 896 of the family's 1533-position model. The record is from RNAcentral.
CAAGGAAUUUUGGGCAAUGGGCGAAAGCCUGACCCAGCGACACCGCGUGAGGGAAGAAGGCCUUCGGGUUGUAAACCUCUUUUCUUGGGGAAGAAUUUUGACGGUACCCAAGGAAUAAGCCUCGGCCAACUACGUGCCAGCAGCCGCGGUAAUACGUAGGAGGCGAACGUUAUUCGGAUUUACUGGGCGUAAAGGGAGCGUAGGCGGUUCCUUAAGUCAGAUGUGAAAUCUUCUAGCUCAAUUAGAAGGGGUCAUUUGAUACUGAGGGGCUUGAGAGCAGCAGAGGGAAAUGGAAUCUCCAGUGUAGCGGUGAAAUGCGUAGAUAUUGGGGAGAACACCAGUGGCGAAGGCGAUUUCCCAGGUUGUUUCUGACGCUGAGGCUCGAAAGCGUGGGGAGCGAAGCGGAUUAGAUACCCGCGUAGUCCACGCCCUAAACGGUGGACACUAGAUAUAGGAGGUAUCGACCCUUUCUGUGUCGAAGCUAACGCUUUAAGUGUCCCGCCUGGGGAGUACGGCCGCAAGGCUG